This 241-nucleotide long non-coding RNA is filed under the name Lathyrus oleraceus (garden pea). Its description in RNAcentral is "Pisum sativum (pea) long non-coding RNA (PSAT_LNC035041)". The record is from RNAcentral. Lineage: Eukaryota; Viridiplantae; Streptophyta; Magnoliopsida; Fabales; Fabaceae.
UUAAAUGUUUUAAAAUAUUGGUGAGCCAUCUUUAUGGUCUUGUGAUGUUUGACUUUUUGUUUGAGUCUUAGUCAUGGUUGAUUUGACUUUUGUUUGAUCAAAACCAUUGGAUUUAGGAGAUUGAUGAAAUGUACAAGUCAUCUCCCAAAAUGAAUGGAUGGUAUUGAUCAGAUGAAAUUCCUCUCGUGAUCAAUUUGUGUUUCUAUCUCCCCCUCCCUCUUUAUCUUCAUCCCUAUUCUUC